This 467-nucleotide ribosomal RNA is filed under the name uncultured bacterium. RNAcentral's name for it is "partial 16S ribosomal RNA". It matches the Rfam family "Bacterial small subunit ribosomal RNA", at positions 28 to 507 of the family's 1533-position model. The record is from RNAcentral.
GACGAACGCUGGCGGCGUGCUUAACACAUGCAAGUCGAACGGAAAGGCCUCUUUCGGGGGGUACUCGAGUGGCGAACGGGUGAGUAACACGUGAGUAACCUGCCCUUUACUUUGGGAUAACUUCAGGAAACUGGGGCUAAUACCGGAUAGGAGCUCCUGCUGCAUGGUGGGGGUUGGAAAGUUUCGGCGGUUGGGGGUGGACUGGCGGCUUAUCAGCUUGUUGGUGGGGUAGUGGCUUACCAAGGCGUUGACGGGUAGCCGGCCUGAGAGGGUGACCGGCCACAUUGGGACUGAGAGACGGCCCAGACGCCUACGGGAGGCAGCAGUGGGGAAGAUUGCACAAGGGGUGGAAGCCUGAUGCAGCAACGCCGUGGGCGGGAGGACGGCCUUCGGGUUGUAAACCGCUUUCGCUCAUGACGAAGCUUUGUGUGACGGUAGUGGGUAAAGAAGCACCGGCUAACUACGUG